UUGUGAUCCAGGCAGGAAGUGACAUAGCAGGCAGAGUCAGAAUUGCUCCCUUCCUCCUCCUCUCUUCUCUGGAGCCACCAUGUGAUCUUGGCAAGAGAAGAUGCCUUCCUCUGGCGUCCUUAUAUGUUUAAUGGUAUGAGGAAUCGAGCUCCCUACGGAAUGGACAUCUCAGCAAAUGUCCAGAGCAGUGCUCAUUUUCAGGAGCACAGCUGAAGAGAUGACCCCAACACCCUCGCUACCAGAAUAUGUGGACUAUCUUGUAUCAGAAGGACAGAGAGCAUGGCUAUACCACAAGUCUUCAUGCUGCCAAUGGGGGAAAACAGUCAUGGAGCCUACAACUCUGCUGAAAGAGGAGGUGGAGAGAGGCAGAGCCCCAGGAGCCAGAGAGCUGAGUCCAUCACAUCAGCUGGAUGCAACUCAAUCAGGGCUCUGGAUUCCCGUUAAAGGGCAGUGGAAGCCCAUUUUUUGCCCUAAAGGGAAACAUGAUUAUAAAAUAGUAAAAUCAAUGCUUGGCUAUCGUCCAAAAAGAGUAUUGGAGUCUAUGAAGAAAAUUACAACUCCAAUAAGAAGUCUUUCUGGGGUGUUUCAAGUUUUGAUUAAGGGAAGAUAUGUGUUACAGGGAAGUGAUCUAUCAGAAGUGUGA
This 643-nucleotide long non-coding RNA is filed under the name Cricetulus griseus (Chinese hamster). RNAcentral's name for it is "lncRNA (ENSCGRG00000025662.1)". Lineage: Eukaryota; Metazoa; Chordata; Mammalia; Rodentia; Cricetidae. The record is from RNAcentral.